CACCGGCAGCUCUAGUGGUAGCAGUUUUUAUUGGGCCUAAAGCGUCCGUAGCCGGUUUAAUAAGUCUCUGGUGAAAUCCUGCAGCUUAACUGUGGGAAUUGCUGGAGAUACUAUUAGACUUGAGAUCGGGAGAGGUUAGAGGUACUCCCAAGGUAGAGGUGAAAUUCUGUAAUCCUGGGAGGACCGCCUGUUGCGAAGGCGUCUGACUGGAACGAUUCUGACGGUGAGGGACGAAAGCUAGGGGCGCGAA
This 250-nucleotide ribosomal RNA is filed under the name uncultured Methanobrevibacter sp. RNAcentral's name for it is "partial 16S ribosomal RNA". It matches the Rfam family "Archaeal small subunit ribosomal RNA", at positions 474 to 723 of the family's 1478-position model. Lineage: Archaea; Methanobacteriati; Methanobacteriota; Methanobacteria; Methanobacteriales; Methanobacteriaceae. The record is from RNAcentral.